AGGGAUCAUUACCUGAGUUUACAACUCCCAAACCCCUGUGAACAUACCAAUUGUUGCCUCGGCGGAUCAGCCCGCUCCCGGUAAAACGGGACGGCCCGCCAGAGGACCCCUAAACUCUGUUUCUAUAUGUAACUUCUGAGUAAAACCAUAAAUAAAUCAAAACUUUCAACAACGGAUCUCUUGGUUCUGGCAUCGAUGAAGAACGCAGCAAAAUGCGAUAAGUAAUGUGAAUUGCAGAAUUCAGUGAAUCAUCGAAUCUUUGAACGCACAUUGCGCCCGCCAGUAUUCUGGCGGGCAUGCCUGUUCGAGCGUCAUUUCAACCCUCAAGCCCCCGGGUUUGGUGUUGGGGAUCGGCGAGCCCUCGCGGCAAGCCGGCCCCGAAAUCUAGUGGCGGUCUCGCUGCAGCUUCCAUUGCGUAGUAGUAAAACCCUCGCAACUGGUACGCGGCGCGGCCAAGCCGUUAAACCCCCAACUUCUGAAUGUUGACCUCGGAUCAGGUAGGGAAUACCCGCUGAACUUAAGCAUAUCAUUAAAGCGGAGGAA
RNAcentral lists this ribosomal RNA (543 nucleotides) under Fusarium proliferatum. RNAcentral describes it as "eukaryotic LSU rRNA". The stretch from base 161 to 314 matches the Rfam family "5.8S ribosomal RNA". The record is from RNAcentral. Lineage: Eukaryota; Fungi; Ascomycota; Sordariomycetes; Hypocreales; Nectriaceae.